RNAcentral lists this ribosomal RNA (420 nucleotides) under uncultured eukaryote. Its description in RNAcentral is "SSU rRNA". It matches the Rfam family "Eukaryotic small subunit ribosomal RNA", at positions 592 to 1018 of the family's 1831-position model. The record is from RNAcentral.
CAAUAGCGUAUAUUAAUGUUGUUGCAGUUAAAAGCUCGUAGUUGGAUUUCUGGUGGGAGCGGCCGGUCCGCCGCAAGGUGUGUACUUGGUUGUCUCCUGUCAUCCUUGUGGGAACUGCUCUGGCAUUAAGUUGUCGGGGUUGGGGAACACAUCGUUUACUGUGAAAAAUUAGAGUGUUUAAAGCAGGCUUAUGCCGUUGAAUACAUUAGCAUGGAAUAAUAAGAUAGGACUUUGGCGUCUAUUUUGUUGGUUUGCACACCAAAGUAAUGAUUAAUAGGGAUAGUUGGGGGUAUUCAUAUUCAAUUGUCAGAGGUGAAAUUCUUGGAUUUAUGGAAGAUGAACUUAUGCGAAAGCAUUUACCAAGGAUGUUUUCAUUAAUCAAGAACGAAAGUUAGGGGAUCGAAGACGAUCAGAUACCGU